This 235-nucleotide ribosomal RNA is filed under the name uncultured bacterium. RNAcentral describes it as "partial 16S ribosomal RNA". It matches the Rfam family "Bacterial small subunit ribosomal RNA", at positions 118 to 347 of the family's 1533-position model. The record is from RNAcentral.
UGAGAAACCUGUCCCGGUCUCUGGAAUAACAGUCGGAAAACGACUGCUAAUACCGGAUGCCGUCGGAGCGUCGCAUGGCGCGCUGACGAAAGGGCUACCGGAUCGGGAGGGUCUCGCGGCCUAUCAGCUUGUUGGUGAGGUAACGGCUCACCAAGGCAUCGACGGGUAGCUGGUUUGAGAGGAUGAUCAGCCACACUGGGACUGAGACACGGCCCAGACCUCCCGUAGGGAGGCG